Molecule: long non-coding RNA, 990 nt
Filed under: Homo sapiens (human)
Lineage: Eukaryota; Metazoa; Chordata; Mammalia; Primates; Hominidae
Description: HSALNT0236054
Source: RNAcentral
CCGAUGCUGGGGGACAGGGACGGGGAGGGGCAGCGGGUGGAUGAUGAGGUAUCUGUGCAGGCCCGGGGGCCACUGGCCUCAGGAUGCAGGGAGAGGUGGGCAGGCUGAGGGGAGGGGCGAGCUCCACGAGGCUGCUCUAACUGCCCCGUGGGUCAGGCCUGCCAUCGCUGUCACAAUGGGAAUAGCAAAGCUGGCUCUCCCAGAGCCACGGGGUCUGGCGGAGGUGGCUGUGCUGGGGUGGGUACAGGGCUCAGCCUCUGAGGAUGGUGACCUGGUUUGUAACUGUCCCUUUACCCACACCAGGAGAGAGAAAUAAGGAACAGUCCCCUGGGAGGUGUCCAGGACCAGGAGGGAACAGGAAGGGAAUUUUUAGGCAUCUAAGGAUUCUUUAUUUCCAGAGAAAAUCUAUUCAAGACCUUUGCUGACCUCCUCUGUGCCUGCAGGGCACUCCAGGAAAUCCUCAGCUCUGUCCCCUCCCCCCGGCCCCCUCGCCGGCCCAGGCUGCAGGGGACGGGGAAGGGGAAGGACAGCCAAGUCCCUCCUUCCCCACCUCAGCCUGCCCUCCUGAGGUCCAGAGCCCAGUGGCAGGGAUUGGGGUGAGGGCACAGGAAGCUUGGCAGUGGCUGGGUUUGGUUUAUUGUUGGUAGAGAAUCAUUUUAAGUAGUAUCUACGGUAACGAAUCACAGUGACUGCAACCGGGUCAGAGAGCCCCAGGCUGAGGCCCCACCUGUCCGGGUGGGACUCCAGACCAGCCACUUCCUAUGAUCUGUCACCUGUGCUCAGAGCAAGGCCUGGGAAGAGAACAUGAGGCUCCGGAGGAAAGCCGGGGGCCUGGGCCACCUCACCAGACAGCAAUAGCAGCAGCAGCACACGAAGGCGGGGCAGGGCGGGGGAGAAGUCAGGGAGCGUGACGUCCACAUCGCACUGAUUUCCGAGGGUAGGGAGGGGAAGCAGGAGCGGCACUGGAGCUGGCACUGGGCCGGACAGGUG